UGCGUAGGCGGUUUAAUAAGUCAGAGGUGAAAGCCCGCAGCUCAACUGUGGAAUUGCCUUUGAUACUGUUAGACUUGAAUGAGGUUGAGGUUGGCGGAAUGUGGCAUGUAGCGGUGAAAUGCAUAGAUAUGCCAUAGAACACCAAUUGCGAAGGCAGCUGACUAGACCUGUAUUGACGCUGAGGCACGAAAGCGUGGGGAGCGAACAGGAUUAGAUACCCUGGUAGUCC
RNAcentral lists this ribosomal RNA (229 nucleotides) under uncultured bacterium. RNAcentral describes it as "partial 16S ribosomal RNA". It matches the Rfam family "Bacterial small subunit ribosomal RNA", at positions 568 to 796 of the family's 1533-position model. The record is from RNAcentral.